This 465-nucleotide ribosomal RNA is filed under the name uncultured bacterium. RNAcentral describes it as "partial 16S ribosomal RNA". It matches the Rfam family "Bacterial small subunit ribosomal RNA", at positions 28 to 507 of the family's 1533-position model. The record is from RNAcentral.
GACGAACGCUGGCGGCGUGCCUAACACAUGCAAGUCGAACGGAAAGGCCCUGCUUGCAGGGUACUCGAGUGGCGAACGGGUGAGUAACACGCGGGUGAUCUGCCCUGCACUUCGGGAUAAGUCUGGGAAACUGGGUCUAAUACCGGACAGGAGCCAUAUUUAGUGUGAUGGUUGGAAAGUUUUUUCGGUGUAGGAUGAGCUCGCGGCCUAUCAGCUUGUGGGUGGGGUAAUGGCCUACCAAGGCGGCGACGGGUAGCCGGCCUGGGGGGGUGGACGGCCACAUUGAGACUGAGAUACGGCCCAGGCUCCUACGGGUGGCAGCGGUGGGGAAUAGUGCACAAGGAGCGCAGGCCUGAUGCAGCUACGCCGCUUGGGGGAUGACGGUCUUCGGGUUGUAGACUCCUUUCGCUAGGGACGAAGCUUUUUGUGACGGUACCUAGAUAAGAAGCACCGGCUAACUACGUG